Long non-coding RNA from Myotis brandtii (Brandt's bat), 347 nucleotides. RefSeq lists it as uncharacterized. The record is from RefSeq and is a predicted model, not a curated record. NCBI's taxonomy places the organism in Eukaryota, Metazoa, Chordata, Mammalia, Chiroptera, Vespertilionidae. The transcript is spliced from 2 exons.
GCACCAGUAUGUUUACAAGUGCCUUCCCCGCGAGCUCCCAGGCGCAAUGUGUGCUCCUCUCCCUGCGUCCCCAGAGCAGCCCCAGGCCCCAGUAACGCGGGAUCUGCGGGAACAAGAACUGUAGGGCGCUACACCCCCAGGUGCCGAGAGUUAUAUAGGUCAGCAGUCUCACAUGGCUAAAAUUAAGGUGUCAUCAAGCCUGUGUUCCUUCUGAAGGCUCUAGGCGAGAAUUUCUUUCCCAUCUACGAGAGCAAGCAUGUCAAACUCGCGGCCCGUGGGCUACACAUGGCCCACAAUGAAUAUUUCUGCAGCCCAGCCAACAUAACAGUAAGUAAGAAACUUUUUAA